This 440-nucleotide ribosomal RNA is filed under the name uncultured bacterium. Its description in RNAcentral is "partial 16S ribosomal RNA". It matches the Rfam family "Bacterial small subunit ribosomal RNA", at positions 338 to 795 of the family's 1533-position model. The record is from RNAcentral.
CCUACGGGAGGCAGCAGUGGGGAAUAUUGCACAAUGGGGGAAACCCUGAUGCAGCGACGCCGCGUGCGUGAAGAAGGCAUUCGUUAUGUAAAGCUCUAUCAGCAGGGGAGAAAAUGACGGUACCUGAGUAAGAAGCCACGGCUAACUACGUGCCAGCAGCCGCGGUAAUACGUAGGGGGCAAGCGUUAUCCGGAUUUACUGGGUGUAAAGGGAGCGUAGACGGCAGUGCAAGUCUGCAGUGAAAGGGGGGGGCUCAACCCGCGGACUGCUCUGGAAACUGUACGGCUGGAGUGCAGGAGAGGUAAGCGGAAUUCGUAGUGUAGCGGUGAAAUGCGUAGAUAUUAGGAGGAACACCAGUGGCGAAGGCGGCUUACUGGACCGGAACUGACGUUGAGGCUCGAAAGCGUGGGGAGCAAACAGGAUUAGAUACCCCAGUAGUC